This 77-nucleotide transfer RNA is filed under the name Cordylochernes scorpioides. RNAcentral describes it as "tRNA-Thr". It matches the Rfam family "tRNA". From Rfam's summary of the family: Transfer RNA (tRNA) molecules are approximately 80 nucleotides in length. Their secondary structure includes four short double-helical elements and three loops (D, anti-codon, and T loops). Further hydrogen bonds mediate the characteristic L-shaped molecular structure. tRNAs have two regions of fundamental functional importance: the anti-codon, which is responsible for specific mRNA codon recognition, and the 3' end, to which the tRNAs corresponding amino acid is attached (by aminoacyl-tRNA synthetases). tRNAs cope with the degeneracy of the genetic code in two manners: having more than one tRNA (with a specific anti-codon) for a particular amino acid; and 'wobble' base-pairing, i.e. permitting non-standard base-pairing at the 3rd anti-codon position. Lineage: Eukaryota; Metazoa; Arthropoda; Arachnida; Pseudoscorpiones; Chernetidae. The record is from RNAcentral.
GUCCAAGGUAGCCUAGUAGACAUGGCAUCUGCCGGGUAAGCGGAACACUGUGUGGGUUCGAUUCCCAUCCCUGGACA